Molecule: long non-coding RNA, 572 nt
Organism: Saccostrea cuccullata (small rock oyster)
Lineage: Eukaryota; Metazoa; Mollusca; Bivalvia; Ostreida; Ostreidae
Exons: 3
Source: RefSeq, a predicted model, not a curated record
GUUGGUGGAUGUAGAUGCUUAGCCAAUCAGUCACUAGGCUUGUGAAUAUGAUCAAACAGCAAUCAUCUACUAUGAAGUAUACAUGCAUUCUAUAGGAAUCUGGAUGCUCACAAGGACAAGAGCUGUAUGAAAAAAAAAACCAACAGAAAUUGUGCAAGGAAAGUUUGAAGUGUCUGUGGGACUGGGAAUGAUCAUCAUCCAACUUUCUGAGCCUUCGUACUGAAAGUGAAUGCAUUCGUGACACCAAUUAUCUGUCAACCCUAUAACAUAACCAUUUACUAUUUUCAUGGGAUAUAUCAGUGAGGAAGUGAUUCUCUGGCAAACACGUCAGAAGUUUUGGAUCUUCAUUAAUUGGGAUCUUUGGCACGUACGUUGGGGGAUUAUACUUUUAAUUAGCAUCUGUUGAUUUUAUGGGAUCUGUGUAUCAAUAUAGUUGUGUAGUACCUAUUUUUUGCAUUUAAUACAUGUGUUUGUCACUCUAGUCAUUAACUUUGUACCAGUACAUAAGCCACUGGCAGUUCAUUGUAAAUGUAUACUCUGUUGAUGUUUCAAUGACCUCUCCAAUUCCAUGU